RNAcentral lists this long non-coding RNA (676 nucleotides) under Pan troglodytes (chimpanzee). RNAcentral's name for it is "lincRNA". Lineage: Eukaryota; Metazoa; Chordata; Mammalia; Primates; Hominidae. The record is from RNAcentral.
GCCCCACUAGACGAAGAGCUGACCGCUCAGAGAAUGGUUACGAAAGGGACAAACAAGCCAACAAACGAAGUCCAGGCUCCCCAUUUGUUGUAACCGCCGGGUCCCCUUCGGUUGCCACGGCACUUGAGGCCAGAAAGUCCUCAGCUCCCAGGUGAAGUCCUCCACCAGCUGCCCAUUCCUGGGGGUGGAUGCCGUGACAGCCACGCCAGAUUGUCAGCUACCCAGAAGGAGAGGAGGUGGCCGUCUGUGUUCUCCAAACUUCUGGGACUCCUCAAGGAGUGAAGUCUGAUCUACGCACGGAACGAACCACCACGGCAAAGGAAGAGCGAUGGCGCCCCCAUGUGGCAACACAAGCACUGCGAUUUCACACAAGACCAAAUCAGAAUUGGCCGGAGGGGAACGUCAGAUUCUUAGGGAGUGUUACUCCAACUAAUGCUACACUCAGGGCGACUUCUUGGAAGGCAAAAGCCCCAUAGUCUAGCCAUACAACUUUCCAGAAAAGUAGCACUCUUCAAAACAGCUGGCAUUAAAAUUCUUGGCUCUGCCAUCCACCCGUUCUGUGAGACUCUCCUCAUCCCCAAAAAUGGAAGGUCUGAUGACUUCAAAAAGAGUUUUACCGUUUUUCCCCUCAUUGAAAAUAAUAGAAAACAGUAAAAUACUGCAUUUCUGCCUUCAA